UUGUUUCCAAGUGACGCACUUAUUCAAUGAAUUUGAUAUUUGUCACUCUGUUUUAAUUUAGCUAUUGUCAGAUAGAUAAAAUAAUUUGUUAGAUUUUUGGAAGCAUAAACUUUUAACUGUUGAUUCUCUAUUUUUAGACAAUCAACUUUUGUUUUGAUGCACCAAGGAACAUUAUAAAUCAACAAUUGUCACGUUUGUGCAAGAAAUACACAAUCAACUUUUGUUUUGAUGCACCAAGGAACAUUAUACUUAUAAUGGUGAAAUUUGGAGAGAAGAAAUAAACGGACGUAGGCUUCUCAACUAGUCAUAACAGGAGACGUAAUAGUCACAGAUGACAUUACAAGGACACUUUGACCGAUAAUUGUAAAUGGGACGUUAGGUCAAAUGAUAUCUCGUUUGAAAAAUGUUAAAUAUACCUAUUCAAUUAACACUAAUUUUGUUUGGGUUUAAGUUAAUUUUAAUGAAUAAAUGAAAUAAAUAUAAAAUUGUAGUUUGGCAUUAAAUAAAUAAUGAUUCAAACGUCCUCCUAUGGUUAUUUGUCAAAACAGUCGACGUUGACGUAAAAACAAUUAGAGAAUAGACCAUUUGAAGACUUUGACGUUUAUGGCGCCUCCCAAUAAGUGUAUUCGCAGAGACAAUCGGGGA
Diabrotica virgifera virgifera (western corn rootworm) is the source of this 645-nucleotide long non-coding RNA. RefSeq lists it as uncharacterized. The transcript is spliced from 3 exons. The record is from RefSeq and is a predicted model, not a curated record. Lineage: Eukaryota; Metazoa; Arthropoda; Insecta; Coleoptera; Chrysomelidae.